UACGUAGGGUGCAAGCGUUAAUCGGAAUUACUGGGCGUAAAGCGUGCGCAGGCGGUUUUGUAAGUCUGUCGUGAAAUCCCCGGGCUCAACCUGGGAAUUGCGAUGGAGACUGCAAGGCUAGAAUCUGGCAGAGGGGGGUAGAAUUCCACGUGUAGCAGUGAAAUGCGUAGAGAUGUGGAGGAACACCGAUGGCGAAGGCAGCCCCCUGGGUCAAGACUGACGCUCAUGCACGAAAGCGUGGGGAGCAAA
RNAcentral lists this ribosomal RNA (249 nucleotides) under uncultured bacterium. RNAcentral's name for it is "partial 16S ribosomal RNA". It matches the Rfam family "Bacterial small subunit ribosomal RNA", at positions 524 to 772 of the family's 1533-position model. The record is from RNAcentral.